This 73-nucleotide transfer RNA is filed under the name Trichonephila inaurata madagascariensis. It matches the Rfam family "tRNA". From Rfam's summary of the family: Transfer RNA (tRNA) molecules are approximately 80 nucleotides in length. Their secondary structure includes four short double-helical elements and three loops (D, anti-codon, and T loops). Further hydrogen bonds mediate the characteristic L-shaped molecular structure. tRNAs have two regions of fundamental functional importance: the anti-codon, which is responsible for specific mRNA codon recognition, and the 3' end, to which the tRNAs corresponding amino acid is attached (by aminoacyl-tRNA synthetases). tRNAs cope with the degeneracy of the genetic code in two manners: having more than one tRNA (with a specific anti-codon) for a particular amino acid; and 'wobble' base-pairing, i.e. permitting non-standard base-pairing at the 3rd anti-codon position. The record is from Rfam by way of RNAcentral. Lineage: Eukaryota; Metazoa; Arthropoda; Arachnida; Araneae; Nephilidae.
GUCCCUGUAGCGCAAUGGAAAGCGUGUUGGACUUCUAAUCCAAAGGUCGUGGAUUCGAAUCCCACCUAGGUUA